GAGGGUAUAGCUCAGUGGUAGAGUGCACGCAUGGCAUUCAGAAGGUCCUGGAUUCAAUCCCCAGUACCUCCA
This 72-nucleotide transfer RNA is filed under the name Camelus bactrianus (Bactrian camel). It matches the Rfam family "tRNA". Rfam says of the family: Transfer RNA (tRNA) molecules are approximately 80 nucleotides in length. Their secondary structure includes four short double-helical elements and three loops (D, anti-codon, and T loops). Further hydrogen bonds mediate the characteristic L-shaped molecular structure. tRNAs have two regions of fundamental functional importance: the anti-codon, which is responsible for specific mRNA codon recognition, and the 3' end, to which the tRNAs corresponding amino acid is attached (by aminoacyl-tRNA synthetases). tRNAs cope with the degeneracy of the genetic code in two manners: having more than one tRNA (with a specific anti-codon) for a particular amino acid; and 'wobble' base-pairing, i.e. permitting non-standard base-pairing at the 3rd anti-codon position. RNAcentral also lists the same sequence under 1 other name. Lineage: Eukaryota; Metazoa; Chordata; Mammalia; Artiodactyla; Camelidae. The record is from Rfam by way of RNAcentral.